UCAAUCUUGAAACUGAAGCACAUUUGAUGAGUUUUCUAAUUGAUUUUUUUGGGGAAAAACUUUGUUUUAAGAAGAAAAGGUUGCUUGUUUCUAUAGUUUUCCAUGUGGCGGAUGGCCAUUGAGGUUCAUGGCUCUUGUUCAUGGGGAUGUUGAAAGAGAAUCGGAUAAAAGCCAUGGAAAUUCCUAUUCUUGAUACAAGUCUUUCUGAGCUAUGUUCUGUUUGGGGCUUGGAAGAGAGGGAGGAGGAGAUAGAGGUAUGGUUGGGGUGGAGAUGGGGGCCAAGGGAGUAGGAGAGUUCAUUAAAUUUUGAUGGAAAAAAUUGGAGUUUGUGGUAGAAAAAAGUUGAUCGCUAUGUAGAGGGGGACAAAAAUGGACAUCCAACUGCUCGCACCGAUUCGAACGUGAUUGAAAUUACAUAAAUUGAUGUUUAUAGUAAGCUUCUUAAAAUUGUAAUUAGGAUGGUCUGCAUUUUAUUGGAUGAUCAAUCCCACGAUCUGACGAAUUUUCUGCACAUGGACCACUGAUGAAUGAUGUUUGAGACGCCCCUUAUGAUUUGGUUUGAUUUAGCUAAACGUAAAGCUACCCAUGCUCCUAAUUAACCGGUGGAUUUGGAAACCACUUACCUUGGCUCAGGCCAUCAAGUGGGACUUAAGUCAAGAGUGAUGCUAAAACAUCUGUGAUGGGUUAUAGGUGGGGGUUCAAAUCCCACCUGCAACGAAAAAAAUUCAAGAGUGAUGCUAAAACAUCCCUUUGAUCUAAUAAGAUCUGUAUAUUUGCUAGUCUUUAACAUAAGUCUCUUUAGACUUUCCUCACCUCUAGUUUAGGAUAGAAUAGAUUAUACAAUAGUUAUCGUCUCGAAAAAAAGAAGAAAAUUAACCUGUGGAUUUGAAGCCUCACAAGUACGUGGAAUUACACAAGUAUGCAUAGCCAAAGAUUUAAAAUUUUUAAUUGCUUAAUAGAUCAUCCUUUGAUUAAAUACAUAUGACAUAAAAUUAAUUUAAAAAGAUUAUCUUAAACAGCUCAAAAAAAUUACCUUAAACAUUGAUGAUCUGCUCAAUCCUGUUAAAGAUUUGACGUAGAGGAAGACAAAGAGAUCCAUGUAGCAAUCUCACCUCAAACAUUAUUGAUAGCGUGCUUAAACCUGUCAGAGAUUUGGCAUAGAAAAGGGACAAUUUCAGAAACCUCCCUUGAGUUUUCUUAUUAUUUCAUUUAGUUCUCUUGACGUUUUAAAAAUUACACUUACUUCCCUUGAUUUGACACUUUGAUAACCAAACUUUAAAAUAGAGUAAAAAAUUUAAUGAAUACCCUAAAAUAUCCUUAUCUUACAAAGUUCAAUUUGUUCUUCUAAACAAAAAGAAUGUCAAAUUUUUCAUGUCAAUAUUUGUUAUUUGAUAAUCAACUAUAACAAUAAAUCUUUUGCUAUAAUAGAGUAUUUUUCAUAGUACUUUAUUUGGGAAUAUAAAUUCAUUUUAAGAUAGAGAAAAAAGAGCUAAUUUGUUUCUUUUAAAGUUUAUGGACUUUUUUUAAAUAAAAGUUUAUGGACUAGUUUGUUGAUGAAAAAAAUAAAUAAAAAAAGACUAGUUUGUUGAUGGAACUAUCAUAAUUUAGUAGUGAUUUUGUUCUAUUUGUUUUAAUCAUUGUUGACUUAUCUUGAUUUUGAUACCAAUAAAAAGAGCUACAAAAAAAAUUGGAUGAUAUAAAAAGUUAUCAAACUAUAUUACUAGUUUAAUGUUUAAUUUGGAUAGAUAUUGGGGACAACAUUAAUAGCUCUUCUAUACUUCUAAUGAAAUAUAAGAGAAAUGAAUAAGAAUGAAAAACGUAAAAAAAAUUAUAAAAUCCAUCCUUUGCACAAACAUGGUAACAAGAGAGUUUUAUUAGAAAUAUUAAGGUUAGUAUUAUCAUUUUAAAUGGACAAGGGAGGUAGGUGUAAUUUUUGAAACACUAGGGGAGCCAAGUGCAAUUAUUAGAAACCUCAAGGGAAGUUUAUGCAAUUAUUCCCAUAAACAAAGACGAAAAGAUCCAUGUAGCAAUCUUCAACGAAGAGGAAGACAAAAUGAUCACGUAACCACCAGAGACUGAUUUUAUCCUUGUUUUUUUGGACGAAUUUUGGGUAUUUUUUUGUCAAUAUUUUGAUUUUUCUAGAAAGUAUAAUUUGUGUGUCAAUUAGUCUUGCUAACAAGCAAAAAUGAGUAUUUAUCGACAAAUUAGGUGCUUAUAUCCUUAUAGUAAACCUGAACCUGAAACUAGUUUCAAUAGGAUUUAGUUAUCUUAUUCUAACAUCAUCCUUGUUUUUGGAAGAUUUAAUCUUAUUUGCACCAUAAGUAUCUCAAUUAAUUUAUAUCACAAAUUAAACUAUAAGUUAUAAAAGUUUAUAUUUCAAGUCCCUACUUGAAAUUUUUUUAAUCCAGUUAAAGAAGUUCUUAAUGUUUCUUAAUGUGUGUGAACCAUUAGACUCUGAUAUAUAUUGGCGAUAAGUAUGAGUUAUAAUUCUUAAUUAUUAAGAAUUAGAUAAAUUAAAAUUUCUUUUAAUUUAUAAUUGAUUCCACUAAUCAAUCGACUCAUUCUCAUAGAUCAAAAUUGGCAUCUAACAAUAUAUCUCUAGACAAUGGAAUUUUAAUUAAAUUCUAAAAAUUACCAUUGGUCUAUAAAUCAUUUUUAUAGUUUAUUUUCAUCCAAUCGGAUAUUGCCACAUGUCAUGUACACCUGGAAAGGUUGGUUAUUAACUGGCCAAUUAUAUUUGACCACGUGUCAAGUUGAGGUGUUCCAAAACAAUUCAAAUUGUAGGGAUAUCUCCACCAACCAAUUCAUAUCAUAUCACAUGCCUAUUGCAUAAAUAUCUAAGUAUUUAUUUCUUAUUAAAGGGAUAAUAUUUAGAGUUGUUUAAUCCAAGUAUAUUUCUUAUAUAUUGCAAUAGCUUGUCCAGUCAAAUGACGCCACGUCACGUGUUCCCACGAGUUUGGUCAAUCGAUAAAUUACUUAUCUCUUUAUUAAUAAAUAUAAAAUGAAGAGAUAAUAUUUGACUGGUAUAAUCCUAAUAUGACUGCACGUCUUGCAAGACAAGUAAAGUGGUACACAGAUUUUCAACCUCUACCUCUUGCUACAGCUAUAAAUAGGGGUCUAUCAAACCAAAUCAGGGACACACGGACACACAGAGACACUAAGAGGUAUCUCAUACACUCAAAGCAUUGGAGCUCCAAAGGCCCGGAUCUUCAAGCUCUCCAAGUCCCCCAUAUAACAAGACUUGAGUCUUCAAAUAUCUUCUAAAUUUCUUCAAAUCUUCUAUAUCAAGAUUUGAAGGAACCGGUGGUGGAUCCAAGAACAAGCUGCGAAGCCCUUGGAUUAGCAUUCGAGGAGGAGAAUCGAGGAAAACUCUCUACAAGUUCGAGAAAAUCCCAGAGAUUGUACUCACAUAUUUUCUUAAAUUUAUAUUACACAUUUGUCGUGUAUAUUUCUUGUUUUGGUUUGCAGAUUUGAAAUUUUAUCACGUACAAAUUUUUGGCACACCCAGUGGGACCAUCUCUGCCUUCCAUCUCUUCUUCUUGAAUAUUCAACUACGUAUAUCACCAAAGGCACCAAAGAACAACAAAAUCAUGAUUGCACGUUCCAAAGCUACUAAUGCUAAGCCUGUUCAGGAAGCUGCAUAUGUUGCCACCAAUACCCGCGCUAUUGGUCCUGUGACAAGGAGUAUGACGAGAGUCUCCACCCAAAAUAGCAUAGAAGCUCCAUCGGCGCCAACUCCCGUCUUCGGUUCGACAUCACCCAUGAGCUAUUCCUCUACGAUGGGGAUCCAAGACAUUCCUAUCUCGAUUAAGAAGGCUCUUGCCAUGCUCGAAUUUGGAUCCGAAUCCAAGUUUUCUAAGCAUGACGAUGAUUCAUCAAGCACUGGAUUAGCCUCUUCACAUGAAACUCUUCAUUCAAGAUUUUCUAUUGAACAUUCUGCUGCUUCUUCUACUGCAAUGCCUGCUAUGAUGAUAAAUAUUUUAAAUCUCGAAGAACAAGUUUCGAAUAUGUCCAAGAUGAUGGAGACCAUGAUGAAACACAUCAAGGACCAAGAUACUCUUAUUGCUCAACUGCUCACCCAGAAAAAUCACGUUUCUGAAGGAAGCCAUGCGAAUCCUAAGGAGCACCAAGAGCGUGAAAUUCCCUCAUCUAGAGACAAAGACAAGGUGAAGGAAGUAUAUGUGACCGUCGAUAGAGCUAUUCCCGUGGAAUAACUGAAGGAACUUGUUGAAGGCGUGAUCAAAGAUAAAAAGGAGGGUGGUUCAAAAUCAAACUUUACCUACUGCAAGCCCUACACUGCUAGAAUUGACAACCUAGCAAUGCCUGCUGAACAUCAACCGCCUAAAUUUCAACAGUUCGACGGGAAAGGUAGUCCAAAACAACAUGUGGCCCAUUUUGUCGAAACUUGUAAUAACGUUGGAACCUAUGGUGACCUGUUAGUCAAACAGUUCGUCCGAUCCUUGAAGGGUAACGCAUUUGAUUGGUACAUUGAUCUCACUCCUGAGUCCAUCGACAGUUGGGAACAGUUAGAACAAGAGUUCUUGAAUCGCUUCUACAACACUAGAAGAACCGUUAGUAUGCUGAAAUUGACUAACACUCGUCAAUGGAAGGAUGAACCUGUGGUCAACUACAUUAAUAGGUAGAAAAGUUUGAGCCUCAAUUGCAAGGAUAGACUGUCUGAACCUUCUGCCAUAGAAAUGUACAUUCGAGAAAUGCAUUGCAGCCUAAGUUACAUUCUACAGGGUAUACGUCCGAACACAUUUGAAGAAUUAGCUACUCGUGCUCAUGAUAUGGAGUUAAGCAUCACGACCAAUGCAACUGAUGAGUUUCCUAUUCAAACUCCGCGAGUGCAGCCGCCUCGUUAAAGCAAUGCAAAGCAAGAAAAUAAAAAAGGGGGCAAACCUCCUUCAAGAUUCAAUAGUAAGGAGUCCAUGGCAAUAAACACAGCUCCCAUGAAAAUUGCUACCAAGGUGAGUCGAAAGGUCACCGAAAAUGUAGACUCCCCUCAAAAUAGGUCGGUAAGAAGACCUACUCUAAAAGAAAUACAAGAAAAGGAAUACCCCUUUCUUGAAUCCGAUUUGCAAGGGAUGUUCGAUGAUCUUUUCAAGCAGAAGCUCCUUGAACUUCCUGACAUGAAAUGCCCAGAGGAAGUCGGUUAAAUCAAUGAUCCAAAUUAUUGUUGUUAUCAUUGCUUGAUUGGCCACUCUCUCACUAAAUGCUGUCUUUAAAAACAAAAUUAUGGAAUUGGCCCGUCAAGGGAAAAUCCUUCUCGAGGAAGAUAAAGUAUCGGCAAACCAAACAACAAUAAUGUUUGAGUCUGUAUGUUGUCCGAUAAAAGUUUUAUCCACACCAGAUAGUGCUUUGUCUAAGGAGCUUGAAAAAUUCUCAAUUGAAGAUGUUAUUAAAGAUGACAACGAAGGAUGGACUUUAGUUACUCGAAAGAGGACUUGCAAGCUAAAAAUAAAGAAGCACAUCUUUUCAAAAAGCAUUCGUUCGACAAAGUCGAAAGUGACAAUGAAACAAUGAAAUGCAACAAAAAAAAAUAAAAGGCCACAACGUCAAUUCCUUCAGAUUUUCAGCUCUUUCAAGAGAUUCGACAGCCCGUGACACUGAGAGAAUUUAUACUUAAGGGGUAUUUAAAUGACGAUACUGAUAAUUCCACUUCUUGUAAUGUCGUCAAAGCUGAAAAUCCUCAAAUCACAUAAAUUGGCACUAAAUUUGAGGAAAAACUCAAAAUCGAUGAUAAACCACCAGUAGAUUGUGCAGCGACUAUCAUUUUUUAUGAUGACGAUUUAACUGUUGAGUUCAAAACUCACAAUCGACAUUUGUUUGUUAGUGCGUAUGUCCGAGAACAGAAGAUGAAUCGGAUACUCAUUGAUGGGGGAUCUGCUGUCAAUAUUAUGUCCUUACAUGUUAUGAAAGAACUAGGAAUCUCAAGCGAUGAACUCUCUCAAAACCGCCUCAUGAUCCCAGCAUUUAACUAAGGGGGGAAAAGAGUAAUUAGUCUCACAAGGCUUGAAUUGCUCAUUGGUGAGUUAUCUUCAAGUGCGUUAUUUCACAUCAUUGAAGCCAAAACCUCUUAUAAUAUGCUCUUGAGACGAUCUUGGAUUCACGAGAAUGAAAUUAUACCAUCUGCUCUGCAUCAAUGUUUCAAAUAUUAUCAAGACGGUAUAGUUAAGAAGGUUGUCGCCGAUGAUAAACCUUUCACUGUGGCCGAAUUUCACUUUGUCGAUGCCAAAUUUUAUUUUCAGAAAGAGGCAAAAAGAAAAGAAUCAGUAAAGGAAGAAAGUCAAGAUUUCAAAGUACCCAUUUUGCGGUAUAUUCCAAGGUCAAAGAGAGAAGAAAGUCAAUCUUCUUUUAUCAGAAAUGACACAUUAAAUGUUCCGCUCACCAAAAUAGAGCCUGUUAAGAGAGAGAAAGUGAGCUUGUAAGAAUUUGUUCGUCCCAAAAAAGAAUCGGAAGUAUAACAUUACUCACUACCAACUAAUCGAACUCAAAAAGAUUUUGAUCCAAACGCAUAUAGACUUUUGCUAAGGCCGGUUAUAACCCAAAUGAGAAGCAUGCAUUAGAAAAACUCCCUCCUGAAGUGACUGGCGAGAAGACUCAUAGAUUAACACCUACGCAAAAAAUGUUGAAAGAAAAAUGUUAUAAUGUUGAAAGUUCAUCGAUGGGUCUUGAUUAUCAAUCGCCUUCUCCAGUGUGUAUAAUGAUCAAAAGGGCAAGUUGUAAUUAUGUGAACGAAGAAAUGGAAGUAUCAAGCCGAAAGAGGUUUGUUUUCGACAGAUUUGAAAAUAAGUCAAAACAUACUUCUGUGUUUGACAGACUCGGCCCGCAGCUAAAAAAUUUGAAACCGCCCAUCUAUGAGAAAUUGGGCAGCAAAAAACAAGGGUACCAAGUUGUCAAGAAAGAAAAUCUUACUCCAAUAAAGAAAAAUAGUACGAGAAAACGAGUUUUCAAUUUCUUUAUGCAUUAUGGAGACUUGUUUAACGUAAGGAUCGAAACCAUUUUUGAAGAACAAGGUCAAGAAAGUAUUGUUUCUUACCAUCAUAUUACGAUCAGUGAUCCUGAAGAAGAAGAAAAAGAUGCAGAUGACGUUCCCGCUGAAUUUGAACAAGGAGUAGAAAAUACAGUCGAUACCUUAAAAGAGAUUAAUCUUAGCACAAGUGACGACUCUCGCACAAUUUACAUAAGUUCUUGUAUGACUCCUGAAGAAGAGAAAGAGUAUGUUGAUUUGUUACUCGAGUUCAAAGAUGUCUUUGCCUGGAAUUACUCAGAAAUACCUGGUUUGGAUCCUAGAGUCGUUGUUUAUAAUUUAUCUGUCAAGCGAUGAACAAAACCUGUCAAGCAAACUCAGAAACACUUUCGGCCCGAAUUGAUUCCUCUGAUAGAAAAUGAGAUAAACAGACUGAUUGAAUCUGGGUUCAUAUGAGAAGUGAAAUAUCCAACAUGAAUUUCAAACAUUGUCCCUGUGAGGAAGAAGAAUGGACAAAUCCAAAUUUAUGUUGAUUUUCGAGACUUAAAUGAGGUUUGCCCCAAAGAUGAUUUUCCACUCCCCAUCACAGAAUUGACGGUAGAUGCUACGACCGGGCACGAAGCACUAUCUUUUCUCGAUGGAUUAUCUGGCUACAAUCAAAUACGUAUGGCGUCCGAGGAUGAGGAGCUCACUGUUUUCCGCACCCCCAAGGAAAUUUAUUGCUAUAAAGUGAUGCCAUUUGACUUGAAAAACGCUGGAGCAACAUAUCAGAGGGCAAUGCAAAGAAUUUUUGAUGAUAUGUUCCAUAGAAAUGUGGAGUGCUACGUUGAUGACCUUGUGGUGAAAUCAAAAAAGCGAGAGGAUCAUAUUCAAGACUUUUGAAGAGUUUUCCAACGCCUUCGGAGAUACCAAUUAAAAAUGAAUCAUUUGAAGUGCGCAUUCGGAGUCACUUCUGGCAAGUUUCUCGAUUUCAUUGUUCAUCAACGGGAAAUAGAGGUCGAUCGAUCUAAAAUUAAUGUCAUUGUGAACAUGUCUGAACCGUGAAAUAUUCAUGAAUUGAAGAGUUUUCAAGGGAAGUUGGCAUAUAUCCGGAGGUUUAUCUCUAAUUUGGCCGGACGAUGCCAAUCCUUCAGUUGAUUGAUGAAGAAAGGGGUGCCCUUCGAGUGGGAUGAAUCGUGUAGAAAUGCUUUUACAAGCAUCAAAACGUACCUCAUGAAUCCCCCAGUGUUGGCUGCACCCAUCCCAGGAAAACCAGUGAUUCACUAUAUUUCCGCUCAAGAACGGUCGGUUAGGGCCUUACUUGCUCAAGAAAAUGAUGAAGGUAAGGAGAAUGCAUUGUAUUACUUGAGUCGAAUGAUGAUAUCUAAUGAGUUGAAUUACUCAUCCAUCGAGAAGUUGUGUUUGACACUUAUAUUUGUCAUUCAGAAGCUAAAACAUUAUUUUCAAGCACACACUAUUCGACUCAUAUCUAAGUCUAAUCCCAUUAAAUAUAUCAUGGCAAAACCUGUACUGUCUGAUUGACUCGUGAGAUGGUACCUCCAGUUUUAACAAUUCGAAAUUAUUUAUGUACCUGCGAAGGCUGUCAAAUGACAAAUAUUGAUAGACUUUUUAGCCGAUCAUCCCAUACCUGCCAAGUGGGAGUUAACUGAUAAACUCCUCGAUAAAGAAGUGUUUGUGGUCGAAUCGCCGUGGUUAAUGUAUUUCGAUGGAGCUGCUCACCGUGAUGGAGCUGGUGCGGAAGUUGUCUUUUAUACUCCUGAAGCAAAUAUAUUGCCGUACUCUUUCACUUUAACACGCCGGUGUUCAAACAAUGUGGCCGAAUAUCAGGCGUUAAUUCUCGGUUUUGAAACGGCUGUAGACAUGAAGCAGUUGCAUCUUAGAGUCUAUGGUGAUUCAAAAUUGGCGGUAAAUCAACUUUUUGGUAUUUAUGAUGUCAAGAAACCUGAAUUGAUCCCAUAUUAUAAGUAUGCAAGGCAACUCAUGGAAUAUUUAGAUAAUGUCACUAUAGAACAUAUCUCUAGAAAUUUCAACCAACAAGCUGACUCUUUGGCAAGGAUGGCAUCCAUGAUCACUCUACCUUCUCAUCGAAAUCAAAUUUUAAUAUGUCAAAAUUGGGUCAUACCUCCGAUGUUUGAUAAAGAAAAUGAUGGGGAGGAAAAAAAUGCUUAUCAUAUUUUUGUCCAUGAGAUCGAAAAGGAGGAUUGGCGUCAUCUCAUCAUUGAUUACCUUAAUCAUGAGAAGUUACCAGAAGAUCCUAAGAAAAUGGUUGAUAUACGUCAUUGAGCACCAUGUUUCAUUUACUACAAAGGGACGCUUUACCGAAAAUCAUUCGAUGGGGUGUUUCUACGAUGUCUUGGAGAAGAUGAGGCCAUGCAAGUAAUGGAGGAGGCUCAUUCUGGGAUAUGUGGUGCUCACCAAUCUGGCCCAAAAUUACACUUUCGCAUUAAGAGAAUGGGAUACUACUGGCCAACGAUGGUAAAAGACUGUAUUGAUUUUGCUAGAAGAUGUCAAGCUUGUCAAUUCCAUGGCAAUUUCAUCUGUUAACCUCCUGAACCAUUGCAUCCAACUGUGGUUUUUUGGCCUUCGAUACUUGGGGUUUGGAUAUAGUUGGACCGCUCCCAAAAUCUUCUGGAGGACACAUUUUCAUUUUGGCAGCAACGGACUAUUUCUCGAAGUGGGCCGAAACGGUUCCUCUAAGAGAGGUCAAAAAGGAGAAUGUAGUAGAUUUCAUUCGCUCGCACAUCAUUUAUCGGUAUGGAGUCUCGCGUUAUAUUAUCACCGAUAAUGAUAAACCUUUUUGCAAUGUAGCAAUGAACAAGUUUUGCGAAAAGUUUCAUUUCAAACAAUACAAUUCGUCCAUGUACUACGCUGCCGCAAAUGGACUCGCUGAAGCAUUCAACAAAACCUUAUAUAAUCUGUUGAAGAAAAUCGUGGAUAAAUAGAAAAGGGAUUGGCAUUUUCGAAUUGGAGAAGCACUUUAGCCAUACCGAACUAUUUUUCGAACUCCCACGUAAGCGACCCCAUACGCGCUUGUUUACGGCGUUAAAACUGUUCUUCCACUUGAGUGUCAAAUACCUUUGCUAAGAAUUGCGAUUCAAGAAGGGUUCAGUGAAGAAGAUAAUGUUCGUCUGUGCCUUGAAGAGUUAGAAGCACUCGACGAGAAGAGAUUGGAAACCCAACAACGAAUUGAGUGCUAUUAAGCCCGCCUUUCAAAAGCAUUCAAUAAGCAUGUCCAACCACGCUCUUUCCAGAUUGGAGAGUUAAUACUCGCCAUUCGGAGACCGAUCAUUCUCACUCAUGGCGACCAAAGAAAGUUUACUCCUAAGUGAGAUGGUCUAUAUGUUGUUCGAGAAGUGUAUACAAAUGGUUCAUACAAGUUGGUUGCUGAAGAUAGAUUAAAGGUCAGCCCCAUCAAUGGCAAGUACCUAAAAAGGUACUAUGCGUAAUCAGAACCACGCGAUGCUCCUGGUUCGCAUGAGGUAAAACUGUGGAUGGCAACCACCAAUAGUAUAAUAUGUGGUUAAACUGUUGAAACACUUCACCAAAUCUAGGUGGUAAACAAAUAGAUGCUCCUGGCCCGCAUGAGCUAAAACUGUGGAUGGCAACCAUCAAUAGUGUGGUAUAUAGUUAAACUGCUGAAACACUCCACCAAGUCUGAGGUGGUAAACAAAUAGAUGCUCCUGACCUGCAUGAGCUAAAACUGUGGAUGGCAAUUACCAAUAGUGUAGUAUGUGGUUAAACUGCUGAAACACUCCACAAAUUCUAAGGUAGUAAAUAAAUAGAUAUUCUUGACCCGCAUGAGAUUAAAAUGUGAACGGCAGGAAUUACGUGUGACUUGAUUCCCUUCGGGGAUACGUAGGCAGCUUAGAGGGUAACUUCUAAGUUCAGUUACACCUUCUAAACCAAACAUUCUUUCCUUGCAAAAAAAAAAAAGAAAAGAAAAGAGGAAGAACUUCUCUUUUUCUUUGAGAUAAAAUACUAAAUUUAAAAAUUCUUUUCUCUUAAAAAAAACAAGAGAUAAGAAAUGGAAAGUAUUUUAUUAUUCAAAAAAAAAUCAUUACAUGAAAAAAAAUGAUAAAAGAAUUCAGGGAAAAGAAGAACAAGGUGGAAAGCCUAAAUAUCAAAUUUAUAUUCCACUACAACUACUUUAUAUGAUUCAAGUGCAGACUUCAUGUCUUCAAGUUCCUUCACAGCGUCAUCAGUUAAGAUGCUAGUAUUUUUAAUAGAAGAUAGCUCAUCAUGUGCUUGGGUUAUUUCGGUCUGGAUCUCUUUGAAAGUUUCAUGCUUUUGAUCGAUAGUUGAGCUGAUUUCCAGGCUUUAUUUUUCCAAAUUGAUAAAUUCCUGUUGCAGAACUUUCUCCCUGUCUUUAAUGGACUGCAACUUUUCUUCAAGACUUUGCAAAUGACAAGUUAGUUCUUCUUCCUUUGCCUUAACUCUUCCGAGUUGGACGGUCGCUUUGGAAAGGAGUUCUGCAUGUGUUUCUUUGUUCAUCCUUUCCCACGAUGAAGAUGCUAGAGCAUCAUAUGCCUUCGCCUUGCCAAACAAUUCUAUCAAGUGAUCUUUUAAGGGGAGACCAGUGGUGGGAUUCGUUCUUGUGAUUUUUGCAAUGAUUUUCUCUGCAUACUCUUUUAAAGAAGAGAUCUGCUCAAUUGGAGUGUCAUGAAUCUGCCCGCGAAAAUCUAUCCACAAACUCUGUAAGUACUUUCUUCGUUGUGCCUGGAUCAACUUUUGGCCAUGAAAUUCUGAAACCAGUACUACCUUCGGUCUUUUUCGGAUUUCAUGUGAACUAGUUACCUCCUUCUUAUGCAUUGACGAGGUAUCUCCGCUAGGGGCAAAUUGUUUUGGGGUACUGAUAGCUAUUUCGUCACUUUUGUUGUUUAAAAUUAUAUCCUCAGUUUUGAGUUUGGGUGGUGAGUUGUUACCAACAUCUUUCUGACGAAAUUCAAGGAACGGGGGCUGAAAAAAAAAUGAAGGAAAAAUUUUUAAAAAAAAAAUUUACAAAAAAAGGGAAAAAAUGGAGAGGUGAUUACCCUAAGUGGCGACACUCCAACCAACGGUGGUGUAAAGGAAACCUCCUCCAAAUCAGAAGAUGUCCUCUUCUUUUAUCUGUUCCAGUGACGGUCUUGACUACUACUACCGCUCGCCAACGAAUGGGCUCCUCCUUGGGUAAAUCCGAUGCCCUGAACUUGAAUCCCUUCCUUUUCUAUAGCCUCGAUAGAAUCACAAUCAUCCACUGUUUCAAUUUCGACAUCUUCUUCUGUGCGAGUCACCGAUAAGGAUUUUGAAACUUUGGGCGGCGUUUUCUUUGCUGGAAUCACUGGUUGCGCCUCGUUGAUGGCCUGUCGAGAGUCCUUAGAAGACUUAUUUCUUACGACAAUGUUUUUCGAGAGAUUGCUAAUGAUUUUGUUCUUCCGCAAGGUGGAUGAGAUAAGACCCGUUACAAUCUCUAUACCUCCAUUAGGAUGCAUUGACUCAUUGGCGGAGGUAACCUUACCUUUUUUUGAUGAUUGCUGAGGGAUCUUAACGGUGAACUUAAAGGAAGUUGAAGAGACACUGUUUGACCGAGCCGACCAUCAGACGUCGUAGUCUUUUGUGAUCAAUGGGUGCUUCCUGUGCAUGGGUAUAGUCAUCUGAGAUCGCGUCUGCAUGCGAACUGAGGAAUCCCAUAGUUGAAUAGCCUCACCCAAAGUAUAAGUAUGAGUGAUCUCUUUCAAGUUGUUGAGAAUGUCCUGGCAGAAGCCGAAUUGUCUGCUAAACCUGCAAGGAUUAUACUUUUCAAUAAUGAAAGUAUUGUCCUUGCGUAGAGUUAAAUGACAAGAGCGUUAACUAAUGAAAUAACUCGUGAGUCGUGAUGAUAAGGAUCCAUCGUCGAUCAACACUUUUUCUUCAUUCUCAGUCCAGCACAGCUUGGGAAACAUCAGAGGGUUCACUUCUUUGAAGAUUUCCUCAACUUCAAAUUUACUGUAAAAUAUUGCCAUCUUCUCACCGCUAAAUCUCGUCAUGCGCGCAUAGUGGCUACUCACUUGAUUAUUCUCGUGAUAUACGUCAAAGUAUUGGUCAAUCCAAGCAUAGACGUAAUGGAUUGGAAAAGUUACCCCGCAUUCUCCAAGGUUAGCGGCGUGGACGAUCUCCCUCAACCCAUGAUAUAUGCUCGCAACAACGAAAAUUACAAGGCAAAAUCUUUUUCCUGUGGCCAUUAAGCAUGCAACCUUGAAGACACUUGGGCGAAUACGAUCGACCUUUUUGCUUGGUAAAAGGAACUUGCAAAUCCAACACGCUAUGAAUGCCGCAAUAUAAGUUUCUUUUCUUAAAGACCCUGGGAUACCUAAUAUGUCGAAAGGGACGUUGAAGUCCUUCGUAUCAGCAAUGUCGUAAGGCUCUACGCUUCCAGAAGGGUUGUAAGUCAUUUUCGGUUUAGUUGUGGUCUUUCUUCUAUUCGCUCUGCUUGGAGGUGCCCUAUACCUAGCAUCUCCUUUGAACUAGAAACGGAUCCAGUCUUUCAUCCAUACACCUUGGUCAUUCGUCCAAAGGUGGUAGUAAGGGGAAAAGAGGUGCCUGCAGCUCUCAAGGAGAAGUGGCUUCCCUUCUUUGUCACGAGUGAGAAGCUCCUACGCCGAAGGAACAACUUCAUCAAAGAACAAGCCAUCGAUCGAAAGGCCACCAAGUCAAUAAAGGUCCCAAAAUGUGAUGGACAACUCCCCAACGGGCGUGUGAAGUGUAUUUGUCGAGGAACAUCAAUAUUUGAAGAAGACUCGCAAGAUAUUUUCACAGCAGUCGUAGGAGUAUCUUAAUGCGUAGACAGCUUCAAAUAUGCCAGCGCGUGUGAGUACCUCUUUAUACCUUCCAAGAAUGUCGACCCACUCCCAAUAAUGGGAGGUGAAGCACGCCUCACCAAAGAAGGAUGAAGGGAUCUUCCAUGUAGUUUUGUCAAUAUUGAAUCCCACGAACGGAAGCGUGAAUUUGGCUAUUUCUGGGUCUCCAUUGUGGAGUGACGAGUUUAAUACGACCACUCCCUCUUCCCUCGACGUAGUGGAGAAAGUCGAUGGUGCCACAAUUUCCUUAGUCCACUUGCUAGUCCAAUUUUCGAGAUGAAAACAUCCUUCGAGGGGUAUGAAGGAUUCAGCGAGCGGGCCAAUUGUUGGUUUGUAAACAUGUAGUGACAAGCUCUUUGAGGAACAUCGGCUUCUAGGGUUUCUCUCUAGCUACGCACGAACUAUUUUGGCUCUCUAGGGUUUUUCAUGGCUUCAUCGGAGGCCCCCCAUCUGGGUGCUGGGGGGCAGCCUUCACCUGUGAAGUCUCAGCAGUCCUUCUCGGAUCUGUUCAAGAGUCCGACGGCGCCUGCUUUCUCGGUUCAGGCGACGGCUUCCACACAUCGUGGAGAGCCGGCUUUGAUUUUUUCACAGGAUGUGAUUCACAAGUUGUCUGAUCCAUUUCGAUAUGCGCUGGUUGGGAAAUUUCCUCGGGGUCGUCCUUCAAUGGAGUUGGCUCGUAAAUUUUUUGCAACGCUUGAUCUCAAACAGCCUGUUUCUGUUGGGCUGCUUGAUUCCCGCCACAUCCUCAUUAGGGUAGCCGAUGAGAGGGAUUUUCACCGUUUAUGGCUUCGGGGGGUCUGGUAUGUUCAGGGGCGGCCUAUGAAGCUGCUCAAGUGGACACCAGCGUUUCAUGUGGAUCGGGAGCCGUCUGUGGUACCGGUGUGGGUUUCUUUGCCCAAACUUCCCAUUCAUCUUUUCAAUCGAGAGUGUUUAUUUCAGAUUGUUGCUCUCUUGGGCGUUCCUCUCUAUGUUGAUGCUGCUACCGCAGCCAUGUCCCGCCCGAGUGUGGCUCGGAUUUGCGUAGAGGUGGAUCUCCUGAAGCCUUUAGUGUCUCGGGUUUGGAUUGGGAAUGGCGGACAGGAGGGGUUCUGGCAGAAUCUUGACAUAGAGCAUCUACCGGCCUACUGCUCUGGAUGCUUUUGACAGGGGCAUUGCAAGGAGGAUUGCGUACUGCUUCACCCGGAGUUGAAGGCCCAGGCUCGGCCCCCUGGGGAGGUGCGGCCUCCGGGACGUCGCAAGGGACGGCUGCCUGUUGCGGCUGUGGCGAGUGAGAAGGUUGCGGCGUCGGAGGAACUGGUCGCGGCUGCGUAUGUGGGAGAGAAGCCCUGUGUGUCGGGGGGAACUUGGGCCUGAAGCGACGGCUGGGCCUGGGUCGUGUGCCCAGGCUAAGGAGCCAGUGGAGGCAGCUGUCCUGGAUGAAGGGGAUGGGCAGGGUGUUUCGGUCCCUCCGGGGAUGCAGGCUAUUCACAAACGGACGUCGUUGGAUCUGGAUGUUGUGGUGGUUGAGGAGGCGUCGGAGGAUGAAGUCCAGGAUGGGCCGGAGAUGGAUGCGGUCCCCCUGUUGUCUCUUGCAAUAGCAGGGCAGCAGGAGCCUGGUGCAGUGGUGGAGCACCUAGUGGAGGACGCUAUGGUUUCGGCUGCGGAGGCGAUCAUUGUGGACCUUGCUGACCAGGUGGCUGCGGAGGUGGUUGAUGAUGAGUCUGCUUUGUCGGUGCACAUGCAGCAGGAGAAGGUUGUAAUCUCAGAACUGAACCUUUCUCCACGCAAAUCUGUUCCUCCCUUGGCGGCCAUGGAGGCGCUUAAACGUCGGCGUGGUGACAUGAAGCAGAGACAGCCUGGGGUGGUUGAGGCCCCGCCAGGUUUUCCCCCGUACUCU
This 15661-nucleotide long non-coding RNA is filed under the name Coffea arabica (coffee). Its description in RNAcentral is "long non-coding RNA (CARA_LNC000199)". Lineage: Eukaryota; Viridiplantae; Streptophyta; Magnoliopsida; Gentianales; Rubiaceae. The record is from RNAcentral.